Molecule: ribosomal RNA, 468 nt
Filed under: uncultured bacterium
Lineage: Bacteria
Description: partial 16S ribosomal RNA
Rfam family: Bacterial small subunit ribosomal RNA
Source: RNAcentral
GGGGGGGGGGGGGGGGGGGCGUGGGGCGGGCGGGGCGGACGGAGGGGCCCUGCUUUGGGGGGGUGCUCGAGUGGCGAACGGGUGAGUAACACGUGAGUCACCUGCCCUGGACUUUGGGAUAACUUCAGGAAACUGGGGCUAAUACCGGAUAGUAGCUCCUGCUGCAUUGUGGGGGUUGGAAAGUUUCGGCGGUUGGGGAUGGACUCGCGGCUUAUCAGCUUGUUGGUGGGGUAGUGGCUUACCAAGGCUUUGACGGGUCGCCGGCCUGAGAGGGUGACCGGCCACAUUGGGACUGAGAUACGGCCCAGACUCCUACGGGAGGCAGCAGUGGGGAAUAUUGCACAAUGGGCGGAAGCCUGAUGCAGCAACGCCGCGUGCGGGAUGAAGGCCUUCGGGUUGUAAACCGCUUUCGCCUGUGACGAAGCGUGAGUGACGGUAAUGGGUAAAGAAGCACCGGCUAACUACGUG